Long non-coding RNA from Equus caballus (horse), 2730 nucleotides. RefSeq lists it as uncharacterized. NCBI's taxonomy places the organism in Eukaryota, Metazoa, Chordata, Mammalia, Perissodactyla, Equidae. The record is from RefSeq and is a predicted model, not a curated record.
GUACGUGCGGGGAGGUGGAGAGGUGGGGAGGUGGGCAGCGGACUAAACCAAGUUCGCCGUGCCAGCUCUUGCUUCGCGGUCUUCCUUCCCCGCAGCCGCCCCUCCUCUCCGGUCUUUGCGCCCCGGGGACGCGCCAGCCGGGCUUGGGCUCCCCGCGCGCACAGGCGGUCCGGAGGGUGGAGUCGGCCCGCGGUAGCCGCGUCUCCUCGGCGGGCAAAAGGCGGGGCAUGCAGAUUAGAAGCGGCUGUUCAGCGCGAGAACGACGGAGCAACCAGGGAUCCAGAAUUUCCCGUUAAAACUGUAGAGAAUGAAAAAUCUGCACAAGAGCCGACUGCCUAGCGAUUCCCACGGUGCUGUCAAAGGAGCAAAGGAAGGGAGACCCGGACUGAGCGGGCGGCGACUCGCCGUGAGCUGAAGGUUUUGAAGGUCUAAAUACGUGAAUCCGGCGACAUCCUCCAAAUGCCAUGAACUGCUCAUGGACCGUCAGGCCCAGCCCCGUGAAAUACUGCUUCCCGAUUGCAAAUGCAUCACUGAUAGGUUCUAGCUUAUCCCUACUUCUGGUUCUUCUUGCACUUACAUGGUCAAAACACAAUCGUCGAAGAAAUUUUUUAAACCCUUGGUCGCUCAUAAUUUUGUCAAAUUGCAAAUUCUGGACUUUGGGAAAAUUCAUCUAGGAUAUUGCCAUUUGAAGACGUGCAGCCUGAGAUUUCACUUAUAUAUAAUCCCCGUCACCACCCUCAUUAGAGUCCAGUCCUUUGCUUUCAUCUUCUGAUUCGUCUAAUAGUCUAAUAAUUCAUCUGCUAGAAACACGCUCCUCUGUCAGUUUUCUUUCCUUUGCCAUUAUGGCCGGGGGUGGGGCAGAUUUCCGAAUUCUCGGCUGUGUUCAGAGAAAGCAAAAAUCAGACUACAAAGAGCUGUCUCCCAUCUGCUUGUUUCCUUCCUGAAAGAGGAUUUGAUCGAUACCUUUUCUUAGCGACACAAGAAGAAAACUGAAGGAUCACGCCAUAGGGACGACUCGCUCCACUGUUGCAUCAAUCCUGUAAGGGACUCCUUCAUUCCUCCAUUUCGUUAGUCUUGUAGACUUUUCCGUCAUAGUUGGGGGUUGGUGAAUAGCUGCAGAAAAAAAAUAUUCCUAGGAUGAUGAAACAGUAAAUUUUUUCAAGAGAGAGGGAAACUAAGAUCGCUAAGAUCCUGUGAUGCAUCUUAGAUUUUGUGAGAGACAAAAGCAGCCCCGGAAGCUGGCCUGCCACCCACAGCUAGGCCGUGGUGGUCUCCCGGUGAAUGUAAACGAUCUCACAGAACGUCACCGUCAGACAAGGCCGCUAUGUGACCGUGAUGGAUCAAGGCAGAAAUAAGACCACUCCGUAGUCACGUCCGAACUCAGACAAAGAAGAAGAAUAUAGUGUCCAAAUGAGAAAAUUCACCAAACACCGCCCCCCCCCCCCAUCCUCGAUGCUCUAAUAUGGGUAACUGCUGCUACGUUACCAGUUACAGCUUUGGCUAUGGCCCUAUUCUUCCCUCCUUCUGGGUAAGAUUUAUUCAGCUACCCAGUCACAGAAUUACCCCCAACUUCCUGAGAACAUCUGUAGGGGAGGAAAAAAGUCUUUCCCCUUCUACCCUUCUAUGUUCUCCACGGUUAGGGCUUUGUAACAAAAGACAGAUCAAUGAGAGAAAAAUAAACAGAAGUUUAUUAGCAUGUGUAUCUCAUAUAUACGUGGGAGCAACUCAGGGAUGAGUAACUCAAAGGGGUGGGUAGAACUUGGGCUUAUAUAGCUGAUAAAAGAAAGAGAAAAGAACGAGGCCAGAGUCGACGUGAUGAUUACCAUGACCGCCUCAAGGCUGAACUAUGGGCAAAAAUAAAAAACUACAUUUUAACCUUCACUGUCACCAGAUGGCCGGAGAACAACUCGGUAGUAUUUCCCUGCAGUUAGAACAUUUAGAAAGCCCCGGACACAAGAUAAACUGUAGCUGGAAAGGGUGACCAAUCAGAACUGGACUCAGCCUUAACCUUGCGUACUCUGCACCUUUUACCUUUAAAACCUGGCCACCCCAAGACCGAGGCAGCACAGGUGUUAGCUCAGGGCUAAUCUUCCUCAGCAAAAAAUAAAAAAUUAAAGAUAAUUGUAUUUCCAACUUGGGGCAUGCCUUCCACAGUCUCCAGUGAUCAAGGCACCUGCGUCACUGAGCAAACCGUGCAAGCUUUAAUGAAAAUCCUUUAAACUUCUUGGACUUUUAAACUUCUUGGCUCCUAUCAUCCUCAAUCAUCAGGCAAAGUUAAGAAAGUUAAUGGAAAAACUGGAUUCAAGCAGAAGAAAUCUUAAACUGCAUGGGACUAUGUGAAUUGAGGAAGACGUUCUAAUGUUUUGCUUUUCCAGAUUUAAAGAAAUCUUUUCUCUUAAGCUAAAUAUGACUUAUAGCAAUUUGUAAGCAGAAUUGAAGCGUUGAUCUUUUUCUCCCUACCUGAUCCCUCCAGAAUUUGGAAACUCUUGAUAAGUGAGUGUUCUUAUUUUUCAUGGCAAUAUGAUUGUUUGCAUAAGUUCGAAUAGAAUCUGUUCUCCUGAUAGCAGGACACGGCUGGAAACACUGGUUAUAUUACCAAGGCUUUGACUGGAAUGUCAUGUUAAACAAACAAACAAGAAACCCCCAAAACAUGCAUAGACUCGGAUAUGACCAAACAGCUUUAAGGAACAAGGAUUGACUUUAUGGAACAAAUAAAGCCACUUGGAAAUA